RNAcentral lists this long non-coding RNA (325 nucleotides) under Mytilus galloprovincialis (Mediterranean mussel). The record is from RNAcentral. Lineage: Eukaryota; Metazoa; Mollusca; Bivalvia; Mytilida; Mytilidae.
GUGUGGAGUUAAUCUGUUACUGCAUUUAAAAAUGACACAACAAAAGAGAAGACAUAGUUGUAAAACGUUAAUAGUUCAUUGUCACAUAUUUCAAAAUAUGGAUAAGGUCUAAUAGAACAUGGCUUUGUCCUUUGGCCUUUGUUUAGUAAACAGGGGGACACAUUGGAAAUAUGUACUAAUUCGUAUUUCGUCUCUUUUCACAGGUAACAUCUUUUUCAUGUUAAUAAAACAAGGUGUUUUAUGUGUGAUGACAAUGAGACAAUUACCUGCCAUUUCAAAUACACUUGGACAAAGAUAAUUUUUUCACAUGUUGUUUCAGGAGAAC